Molecule: transfer RNA, 88 nt
Filed under: Burkholderiales bacterium RIFCSPLOWO2_12_FULL_67_210
Lineage: Bacteria; Pseudomonadati; Pseudomonadota; Betaproteobacteria; Burkholderiales
Description: tRNA-Ser
Rfam family: tRNA
About the family: Transfer RNA (tRNA) molecules are approximately 80 nucleotides in length.
Source: RNAcentral
GAUGACCGAGUGGCCGAAGGUGCUCCCCUGCUAAGGGAGUAUGGGGUGUAGAGCCUCAUCGAGGGUUCGAAUCCCUCUCGCUCCGCCA